RNAcentral lists this ribosomal RNA (560 nucleotides) under uncultured Desulfovibrio sp. RNAcentral describes it as "bacterial SSU rRNA". It matches the Rfam family "Bacterial small subunit ribosomal RNA", at positions 265 to 817 of the family's 1533-position model. The record is from RNAcentral. Lineage: Bacteria; Pseudomonadati; Thermodesulfobacteriota; Desulfovibrionia; Desulfovibrionales; Desulfovibrionaceae.
CUACCAAGGCAACGAUGGGUAGCCGAUCUGAGAGGAUGAUCGGCCACACUGGAACUGAAACACGGUCCAGACUCCUACGGGAGGCAGCAGUGGGGAAUAUUGCGCAAUGGGCGAAAGCCUGACGCAGCGACGCCGCGUGAGGGAUGAAGGUCUUCGGAUCGUAAACCUCUGUCAGAAGGGAAGAAACUAGGGUGCUCUAAUCAUCAUCCUACUGACGGUACCUUCAAAGGAAGCACCGGCUAACUCCGUGCCAGCAGCCGCGGUAAUACGGAGGGUGCAAGCGUUAAUCGGAAUCACUGGGCGUAAAGCGCACGUAGGCUGUUAUGUAAGUCAGGGGUGAAAUCCCACGGCUCAACCGUGGAACUGCCCUUGAUACUGCACGACUUGAAUCCGGGAGAGGGUGGCGGAAUUCCAGGUGUAGGAGUGAAAUCCGUAGAUAUCUGGAGGAACAUCAGUGGCGAAGGCGGCCACCUGGACCGGUAUUGACGCUGAGGUGCGAAAGCGUGGGGAGCAAACAGGGUUAGAUACCCUGGUAGUCCACGCCGUAAACGAUGGACGCU